UUAAAUUGAAGAGUUUGAUCAUGGCUCAGAUUGAACGCUGGCGGCAGGCCUAACACAUGCAAGUCGGGCGGUAACAGG
This 78-nucleotide ribosomal RNA is filed under the name Photorhabdus luminescens. RNAcentral's name for it is "partial 16S ribosomal RNA". It matches the Rfam family "Bacterial small subunit ribosomal RNA", at positions 1 to 76 of the family's 1533-position model. Lineage: Bacteria; Pseudomonadati; Pseudomonadota; Gammaproteobacteria; Enterobacterales; Morganellaceae. The record is from RNAcentral.